AAAGUGGAAAUGGAGGCAGCCUCGGCAGCAGGUUCGGUAGUUUCACCGGCUCAUUCUAUUACGGGGCGCUUCGAGGAAGUUUGCAUCAACAGUAGUUUGCAGUAUUGCACGACAACAAAUCUCACCUUCGUUUCAGACAAAGAUCCAUUAUCUGAAGAACCAUUCAAUGGAGAUUUGCGACAACAGUUUACAAUCCGACAAAGGCUGUUUUAUGGAAAAAGCCUCGUGAUAUCAACCACACUGCUCUGGUUAAAAGCGACUUGGAAAAAGCACGGCAUGGUAACGGUACUACAAAUUAUGCCAUUGUUGGUGAAUGCCCAUCGUCACUCGCAACCCAAAGUUUAGAGACCAAUAACAAUAAUGUAACACGGCGUCGAUAUUCUUUGUUUGGCCUUUUGAUAGACCGCACACUAGGAUCAAACGCAAUUCAAAAGAAACGUUUACGAGAAACCGCAACAUGCAACAAAACUGAUUUGAUCAACAAGAUACCCAUUUGUAAUAGUGGAGAGAAACCGACAUUUUCCAACCAGUAUAAUGUUACAUUGAAAGGUUUUCAUGAGAGCCUCAACCUGAGCAGUCAAGGACCAUGGUCAAAUCUGAUCCAUCCAGGCAUCGAUCGUAUUGCAUUUAAUGACACAUCGAAUUGGUCCACAAACUCCGAGCGAAAAAGACUAAGCUCAAUCAGAGUUAGCUACGAUUCCAUUUACCAUUUGGAUGAACACCCAUCAUUCCAACGUGUCCAAACAUCCACUCCGUUGGACUCAUUUUCUUUGAAUCUUUCAAUAAGCG
This is a long non-coding RNA of Toxorhynchites rutilus septentrionalis, 789 nucleotides long. RefSeq lists it as uncharacterized. The transcript has 4 exons. The record is from RefSeq and is a predicted model, not a curated record. NCBI's taxonomy places the organism in Eukaryota, Metazoa, Arthropoda, Insecta, Diptera, Culicidae.